AUAAAAAAACAUUUAAUUAUUAUUAUAUAUAUAUUAUAUAUAUA
RNAcentral lists this small RNA (44 nucleotides) under Plasmodium falciparum 3D7. Its description in RNAcentral is "Pfa-raR6165b". Lineage: Eukaryota; Apicomplexa; Aconoidasida; Haemosporida; Plasmodiidae. The record is from RNAcentral.